This 331-nucleotide ribosomal RNA is filed under the name uncultured Lachnospiraceae bacterium. Its description in RNAcentral is "partial 16S ribosomal RNA". The record is from RNAcentral. Lineage: Bacteria; Bacillati; Bacillota; Clostridia; Lachnospirales; Lachnospiraceae.
GGAGUUUGGGCCGUGUCUCAGUCCCAAUGUGGCCGUUCACCCUCUCAGGCCGGCUACUGAUCGUUGACUUGGUGGGCCGUUACCUCACCAACUAUCUAAUCAGACGCGGGUCCAUCUUAUACCACCGGAGUUUUUCACACAACAAGAUGCCUCAUCGUGCGCUUAUGCGGUAUUAGCGUCCGUUUCCAGACGUUAUCCCCCGGUAUAAGGCAGGUUACCCACGCGUUACUCACCCGUCCGCCACUAAGUACUUACAAGACUCUGCCGAAGCUUUGUCAGCGUAAGUACUCCGUUCGACUUGCAUGUGUUAAGCACGCCGCCAGCGUUCAUC